AACGAACGCUGGCGGCAUACCUAACACAUGCAAGUCGAACGAGACCUUCGGGUCUAGUGGCGCACGGGUGCGUAACGCGUGGGAACCUGCCCUUAGGUUCGGAAUAACUCCCCGAAAGGGGUGCUAAUACCGGAUAAUGUCUUCGGACCAAAGAUUUAUCGCCUUUGGAUGGGCCCGCGUUGGAUUAGCUAGUUGGUAGGGUAAAAGCCUACCAAGGCGACGAUCCAUAGCUGGUCUGAGAGGAUGAUCAGCCACACUGGGACUGAGACACGGCCCAGACUCCUACGGGAAGCAGCAGUGGGGAAUAUUGGACAAUGGGCGAAAGCCUGAUCCAGCAAUGCCGCGUGAGUGAUGAAGGCCUUAGGGUUGUAAAGCUCUUUUACCCGGGAUGAUAAUGACAGUACCGGGAGAAUAAGCUCCGGCUAACUCCGUG
RNAcentral lists this ribosomal RNA (433 nucleotides) under uncultured bacterium. Its description in RNAcentral is "partial 16S ribosomal RNA". It matches the Rfam family "Bacterial small subunit ribosomal RNA", at positions 29 to 507 of the family's 1533-position model. The record is from RNAcentral.